Molecule: long non-coding RNA, 769 nt
Filed under: Homo sapiens (human)
Lineage: Eukaryota; Metazoa; Chordata; Mammalia; Primates; Hominidae
Description: HSALNT0329643
Source: RNAcentral
GUUUAGUAUUGAUUGUUAGUGGUGUGAUUGGGUGUGUUAUUAUUCUGAAUUACGGGGGAGAGUGUUUUCUCGUGUGAAUGAGGGUUUUAUGUUGUUAAUGUGGUGUAGGAGAGUGAUAUUUGAUCAGGAGAAUGUGGUUACUAGCACAGAGAGUUCUCCUAGUAGGUUAAUAGUGGGGGGUAAGGCGAGAUUAGUGAGUUUGCUAGGCAGAAUAGUAAUGAGGAUGUAAGUCCGUGGGGGGAUGGUGCUAAUAAUUAGGCUGUGAGUGGUUGUGUUGAUUCAAAUUAUGUGUUUUUUGGAGAGUCAUGUCAGUGGUAGUAAUAUAAUUGUUGGGACAAUUAGUUUUAGCAUUGGAGUAGGGUUAUGAGAGUGGCUAUAAUGAAUAGUGAUAGUAUUAUUCCUUCUAGGCAUAGUAGGGAGGAUAUCAGGUGUGAGCGAUAUACUAGUAUUCCUAGAAGUGAGAUGGUAAAUUCUAGUAUAAUAUUUAUGUAAAUGAGAGGCAUUUGGUAAAUAUGAUUAUCAUAAUUUAAUGAGUCGAAAUCAUUCGUUUUGUUUGAACUAUAUACCAAUUCGGCUCAGUCUAACCCUUUUUAUAAUCAUUCGUAGGCCAGACUUAGGGCUAGGAUGAUGAUUAAUAAGAGGGACGAUGUGACUAUUAGUGGUAAGUUAGUUGUUUGUAGGGCUCAUGGCAAGGGUAAAAGGAGUGAAGGGUAUUAAGAAUGACUUCCAGGCUGGGCGCGGUGGCUCACGCCUGUAAUCCUAGCACUUU